AAGGCAGUCGCUUAACCCACUGAGCCUCCCUCAUGCUCUCUGAAGAAAACUGUCUCAACAGCUCCUCGUCUGUGUCCUCGAGCCCGAGGCUUACCUUGAUUUCGAGCGCAACAGCACCACUCUGUACAUGUAACUUGCGGUGUGGAGCCCAGUGCGGGGGCCUGAACCCACAACGGUGAGAUCAAACCUGAGCUGAGAACAAGAGUCAGAUGCUCAACUGAGUCACCCAGGAGCCGCUUACUUUUCAUUUAAACGUCCACUUAUUUCAAAAGGAAUCUAUAUUUCUCAUAUGACCAUAAAAGCAGAAUCACUUACCAUAAGUAGAAAGCUGCCAUACAAAUGGAUGCAAUGAAAAUACUAGAUUCUAGCCAGACACUGAUCUCUACCAAAGAUUCUGAACCAUACCUCUGUUCUCUCUUUGUUGAAAAGGAAAAUUAGCCAUUAGAGAUGUGUUAAAGAUACAUUAAUUCCAAACUGAUUGGAAGGGCUAAGAAGAACUGAAAAGGGCACAGCUAUGAGACUCUGUUACUUCUCUGCCUGUGUGUACAACUUGGAAGCAUCUCAUGUCCAGUGCCAAGUGAUUUGGUCGCGGCUCAGAGACCCAUUAAGGAGGAGCAAGGACACAAUGACAGUAACAAGGAGACAGAUGACAUCAGAGGGAUAAAAUGAAUUAAAAAACUAGAUAAAAGAACUAUAAAAACUUUACAGUUUAGGGUCACUUAAUGGGCUUUCUACACUUCAUUGUCCCAAACUGAUUAUGAAAAUAAACUCAUUUCCUCCA
Long non-coding RNA from Neogale vison (American mink), 781 nucleotides. RefSeq lists it as uncharacterized. The transcript has 3 exons. The record is from RefSeq and is a predicted model, not a curated record. Lineage: Eukaryota; Metazoa; Chordata; Mammalia; Carnivora; Mustelidae.